RNAcentral lists this long non-coding RNA (379 nucleotides) under Bos taurus (domestic cattle). RNAcentral describes it as "long non-coding RNA NONBTAT019839". The record is from RNAcentral. Lineage: Eukaryota; Metazoa; Chordata; Mammalia; Artiodactyla; Bovidae.
AAAGUUACAUGAAACAAAAUUGAAUAAAAGCUAGCAGAAAGCAGAAGGGGCUAGACUGAAGAAAUCACUGUCUUAAAAAUCUGUACAACUUCAAAUUCUUCAUCUGGGUUUUAAAAAAGGUUCUCUUUAAAAUGCUAACCACAGAAUAGGAAUACAAUGUAUUCCCAUUUUAAUUUUCAGAAUACUACUGUAUUUGUAGGUAACACCUCUAUAUAAUUACACAAAAAUGCAUUUUUUAAGUCUAAGAUAAGAAACAAAUGAAGAGUGGGGGGAGGAGGAUAAAAAUGGGGGAAUUUUUUUUAAGAUUUUAUUACAAUUACCUCAAAUAAUACAUGUUUUAAAACUGACAAACAUAGAACCUCUGUAAAACUGUAAGCCC